AUGGAUCUAUCUUUCUAUUUAGAUAUCUUUUGCAAUCAGCCCCAAAUCCUUGAUUUGGCCAGGAAACAAAGCGCUGCUUUGGGCCCAGGAAGCGAAGGGAAUGAGCUCGGCUGCUUAGCCCCCCCCCACACACACACUUCUUUAUUUCUCCGUUCCCCUUCUGCAUGUGCUUCGCGCACCAUUGGCGCUUUGCUCUCCUCUUAUUUCUUCAUUGGAGGGUUCGAAUGGACUUUGCCGUUCUUUCCCCAUGAAAAUGGAAAGGGAUGUAUCACAUCAAGAUGUCGAUUCAUUUUCCGCCCCAAAUGA
RNAcentral lists this ribosomal RNA (306 nucleotides) under Triticum aestivum (bread wheat). RNAcentral's name for it is "partial small subunit ribosomal RNA". Lineage: Eukaryota; Viridiplantae; Streptophyta; Magnoliopsida; Poales; Poaceae. The record is from RNAcentral.